Molecule: ribosomal RNA, 199 nt
Filed under: uncultured bacterium
Lineage: Bacteria
Description: partial 16S ribosomal RNA
Rfam family: Bacterial small subunit ribosomal RNA
Source: RNAcentral
ACGCUCGACACCUACGGGAGGCAGCAGGUGGGGGAUAUUGCACAAUGGGGGAAACCCUGAUGCAGCGACGCCGCGUGAAGGAAGAAGGCCUUGGUUGUAACUUCUGUCGUACGGGACGAUAAUGACGGUACCGUACAAGAAAGCCACGGCUAACUACGUGCCAGCAGCCACGGUAAUCUGAGGCGGGCGUGGCGAAGGC